AUUGAACGCUGGCGGAAUGCUUUACACAUGCAAGUCGAACGGCAGCACGGACUUCGGUCUGGUGGCGAGUGGCGAACGGGUGAGUAACAUAUCGGAACGUAUCCAAUAAUGGGGGAUAACGAGUCGAAAGAUUCGCUAAUACCGCAUACGCCCUACGGGGGAAAGCUGGGGACCUUCGGGCCUGGCGUUAAUGGAGCGGCCGAAAUCUGAUUAGCUAGUUGGUGAGGUAAAGGCCCACCAAGGCGACGAUCAGUAGGUGGUCUGAGAGGACGACCAGCCAACCUGGAACUGAAGCACAGUCCAGACUCCGACGGGAGGCAGCAGUGGGGAAUUUUGGACAAUGGGCGCAAGCCUGAUCCAGCCAUUCCGCGUGAGUGAAGAAGGCCUUCCGGUUGUAAAGCUCUUUCGCAAGGGAAGAAAACUUAGCCACUAACAUUGGUUGAGGUUGACGGUACCUUGAUAAGAAGCACCGGCUAACUACGUGCCAGCAGCCGCAGUAA
This 500-nucleotide ribosomal RNA is filed under the name uncultured bacterium. RNAcentral describes it as "partial 16S ribosomal RNA". It matches the Rfam family "Bacterial small subunit ribosomal RNA", at positions 30 to 523 of the family's 1533-position model. The record is from RNAcentral.